Molecule: long non-coding RNA, 242 nt
Filed under: Mustela putorius furo (domestic ferret)
Lineage: Eukaryota; Metazoa; Chordata; Mammalia; Carnivora; Mustelidae
Description: lncRNA (ENSMPUG00000023867.1)
Source: RNAcentral
CGAAACGUAAAUGUUACUUUUUUGGUGUAUGAAAAAUGAUUACUAUUUCUGUGUAAUAUUUUAGUCUCUGAAAAAGGAUCCAAUCCAUCAGAAAAGGAAAUGCUGUAAGGCUUAUUCCAAAGCUAAAUCAGUAUGCCUGUUAGAAUCUUUCUCAUCUUUACCUCAAGAAUCUGUUUCUUCUAGAAGAUAUUUGAGAAAGGCUGCAAUAAAAAGCCCUUCCUUCACAGUGGGAAUGAACUGCC